RNAcentral lists this long non-coding RNA (1325 nucleotides) under Chloebia gouldiae (Gouldian finch). Its description in RNAcentral is "Erythrura gouldiae (Gouldian finch) lncRNA (ENSEGOG00005005329.1)". Lineage: Eukaryota; Metazoa; Chordata; Aves; Passeriformes; Passeridae. The record is from RNAcentral.
CAUGUGUUCACAGAGGGAGAAAGAGCAGCUGGAUUCCUGCCUUCCCCUGGCUGCGCGCACGCACACAGGCGCACACACAUGUACCCGCACACACCCCCGCACACAGGCGCACAUACACCCCCGCACACGCUCAUUCUUUCUCCACUGCUGCCCCCCACUCGCCUGCCCCCUGAGUCUCCCUCUUUUCCCUCCGGGCUCCGAGCAGAGAGGACAGGAUACCCACAAACAUGCUGAAAACACACAUUCAAAACAUGGUAAUAGGAAGAACACAAAGACUGAGAGGCUGAAACAGCACUGGGAAACAGGACGAAAGUCUGAGAUGUAAGGCAGUCCCCCUUCCUCCCUGGAGUUUUAUGCAGUUACAGUGACUGCAGCUAUUUCACAAAAGCACCGACACAACAGGGGAAGGUGGGAAUCUGCAAAACGAGUUUCCUUACCAGCUUGAUUCCGCAAAAUGCACAAUAGAAGAAAAGAAAGACGAAAAAAACAUUUGCUUUAAAAAUCGUUGCUCAAUUCAUAGUCUAUAGCGGACGUGGGGAGGGAGAGGACAGGAGAAAAUCACUACAGAUCACGGGUUUGAGAAAGCAACAGAAGCAACACUCGGGCGUGAAAUGAGGAUCGGUUUUGAGGACUGAACUGGUGUUUUGUGAUGAGCAGCUAUCCCACUUGCAGUACUAGCAGCAGAGACAGAGGGGAAGACUGAGCUUUCUGGAGUGCAGCGCUUGACUCGUCCUCCCUCCUCCUCCUCCCUCCCUCCCUCCCGCCCUCCCUCUCUCUCUCUCUCUCUCUCUCUCUCGCUCUCUCUCUUUCUCUCUCUCCCUCUCUUUCUGUGUGUAUGUAGCGCAGGCGGCUCUGCUGCUGCAGCGUCAGGGAAGAGCUACCGAGAGAGAGGCUUCAGCAGCUCCCUCCACUUUGGGCAAACUUGCCGGUUUACCGCUUCUUUUUUUUUUUUUUUCUUUCUUUUUCCUUUUUUUUUUUUUCUUACGAGUGAGAAUCUUCUCAAUUGCCAUUCAACAUUUUAAAGCACAAGCCGCUCUGCCGUGAAAGCGCCUGAUCCACACUUCUCUGAAAGACACAGGAGGGAAUACACAAUUGCAGAUUUCACCCACUGUGGCAGUGCAGAUCAAAGGAAACAACUGACUGAUACAAUUUUAUUUGCAAAUAGAACUCUGUAUUUUUUUUUAAUCGCGUCGCGGCUUUUUUCCCCUCCCCUUUGCCAUUCCGCUUUAUAUGGAUGUAAUUCAGAAUCUGUGUUAAUUCACAUGGGGGAUCCAGUUACAUCUUGUUCCGCUCCGGGUAUAAUUACGAGAGACCAAUAAUCGCCU